Molecule: transfer RNA, 72 nt
Filed under: Camelus bactrianus (Bactrian camel)
Lineage: Eukaryota; Metazoa; Chordata; Mammalia; Artiodactyla; Camelidae
Also listed under: 1 other name
Rfam family: tRNA
About the family: Transfer RNA (tRNA) molecules are approximately 80 nucleotides in length. Their secondary structure includes four short double-helical elements and three loops (D, anti-codon, and T loops).
Source: Rfam by way of RNAcentral
GAGGGUACAACUCAGUGGUAGAGUGAGUACCUAGCAUGCAGGAGGUCCUGGGUUCAAUCCACAGUACCUUCA